UAGGGAAUUUUCGGCAAUGGGGGAAACCCUGACCGAGCAACGCCGCGUGAGUGAUGACGGCCUUCGGGUUGUAAAGCUCUGUUGUAAGGGAAGAACGGUAGAUAGAGAAUAUCUAAGUGACGGUACCUUACCAGAAAGCCACGGCUAACUACGUGCCAGCAGCCGCGGUAAUACGUAGGUGGCGAGCGUUAUCCGGAAUUAUUGGGCGUAAAGGGUGCGUAGGCGGCCUGUUAAGUAAGUGGUUAAAUUGUUGGGCUCAACCCAAUCCAGCCACUUAAACUGGCAGGCUAGAGUAUUGGAGAGGCAAGUGGAAUUCCAUGUGUAGCGGUAAAAUGCGUAGAUAUAUGGAGGAACACCAGUGGCGAAGGCGGCUUGCUAGCCAAAGACUGACGCUCAUGCACGAAAGCGUGGGGAGCAAAUAGGAUUAGAUACCCUAGUAGUCCACGCCGUAAACGAUGAAUACUAAGUAUUGGGGAAACUCAGUGCUGCAGCUAACGCAAUAAGUAUUCCGCCUGUGGAGUAUGCACGCAAGUGUG
This 536-nucleotide ribosomal RNA is filed under the name uncultured bacterium. RNAcentral describes it as "bacterial SSU rRNA". It matches the Rfam family "Bacterial small subunit ribosomal RNA", at positions 355 to 896 of the family's 1533-position model. The record is from RNAcentral.